UGGCUCUGGCAUCGAUGAAGAACGCAGCGAAAUGCGAUAAGUAAUGUGAAUUGCAGAAUUCAGUGAAUCAUCGAAUCUUUGAACGCACAUUGCGCCUGCCAGUACUCUGGCGGGCAUGCCUGUUCGAGCGUCAUCUCACCCCUCAAGCCGGCCUCCCCUGGCUGGCUUGGCGUUGGGGACCAGCAGCACCUGCUGGCCCUGAAAGCCAGUGGCGGCACCGCUGCGGCCUCCGUCGCGCAGUAGCUAACCUCGCCCUGGAGAGCAGCGGCUGCCCUGCCGUCAAGCACGCGACGACGUACUCUUUCACGUCUGACCUCGAAUCAGGUAGGAAUACCCGCUGA
RNAcentral lists this unclassified non-coding RNA (341 nucleotides) under uncultured fungus. Its description in RNAcentral is "partial contains 5.8S ribosomal RNA and internal transcribed spacer 2". The stretch from base 1 to 133 matches the Rfam family "5.8S ribosomal RNA", at positions 22 to 154 of the family's 154-position model. Lineage: Eukaryota; Fungi. The record is from RNAcentral.